UUUCUUCGGGAUGAAGAGCUUGGUGACUGAGCGGCGGACGGGUGAGUAACGCGUGGGUAACCUGCCUCAUACAGGGGGAUAACAGUUGGAAACGACUGCUAAUACCGCAUAAGCGCACGGUAUCGCAUGAUACAGUGUGAAAAACUCCGGUGGUACAGGAUGGACCCGCGUCUGAUUAGCUGGUUGGUGAGGUAACGGCCCACCAAGGCAACGAUCAGUAGCCGGCCUGAGAGGGUGAACGGCCACAUUGGGACUGAGACACGGCCCAAACUCC
RNAcentral lists this ribosomal RNA (274 nucleotides) under uncultured Lachnospiraceae bacterium. RNAcentral describes it as "partial 16S ribosomal RNA". It matches the Rfam family "Bacterial small subunit ribosomal RNA", at positions 68 to 339 of the family's 1533-position model. Lineage: Bacteria; Bacillati; Bacillota; Clostridia; Lachnospirales; Lachnospiraceae. The record is from RNAcentral.